RNAcentral lists this ribosomal RNA (253 nucleotides) under uncultured bacterium. RNAcentral describes it as "partial 16S ribosomal RNA". It matches the Rfam family "Bacterial small subunit ribosomal RNA", at positions 524 to 776 of the family's 1533-position model. The record is from RNAcentral.
UACGUAGGGUGCGAGCGUUGUCCGGAAUUACUGGGCGUAAAGAGCUCGUAGGUGGUUUGUCGCGUUGUUCGUGAAAACUCACAGCUCAACUGUGGGCGUGCGGGCGAUACGGGCAGACUGGAGUACUGCAGGGGAGACUGGAAUUCCUGGUGUAGCGGUGGAAUGCGCAGAUAUCAGGAGGAACACCAGUGGCGAAAGCGGCUUCCUGGUCCAGCACCGACGUUCAGGCACGAAAGCGUGGGGAGCAAACAGG